Molecule: ribosomal RNA, 871 nt
Filed under: uncultured archaeon
Lineage: Archaea
Description: bacterial SSU rRNA
Rfam family: Archaeal small subunit ribosomal RNA
Source: RNAcentral
CUCCGGUUGAUUUUGCCGGACCUGACUGCUAUCGGAUUGGUACUAAGCCAUGCGAGUCAUUGUACCAAUACAAGGCGGACGGGUCAGUAACACGUAAUCAACCUAAUCUCGUGGACGUGGAUAACCUCGGGAAACUGACAAUAAACCAGGAUAGAUCAUAGUGCCUGGAAUGGCUUAUGGUCCAAACAGUUUACUGCCGUGGGAUGGGACUGCGGCCUAUCAGGCUUGUUGGUGAGGUAAUGGCCCACCAAGGCGAUUACAGGUACGGGCUCUGAGAGGAGAACCCCGGAGAUGGGUACUGAGACACGGACCCAGGCCCUAUGGGGCGCAGCAGGCGAGAAACCUUAGCAAUGUGCGAAAGCACGACUGGGUCACUCCGAGUGAUUCCUGAUAAAGGAGUCUUUUGCUUGUCCUAAAAGCACAGGUGAAUAAGGGGUGGGCAAGUCUGGUGUCAGCCGCCGCGGUAAUACCAGCACCCCGAGUGGUCGGGACGAUUAUUGGGCCUAAAGCAUCCGUAGCCGGUUCUGCAAGUCUUCCGUUAAAUCCAGCCGCUCAACGGAUGGGCCGCGGAGGAUACUACAGGACUAGGAGGCGGGAGAGGCAAGCGGUACUCAGUGGGUAGGGGUAAAAUCCUUUGAUCCAUUGAAGACCACCAGUGGCGAAGGCGGCUUGCCAGAACGCGCUCGACGGUGAGGGAUGAAAGCUGGGGGAGCAAACCGGAUUAGAUACCCGGGUAGUCCCAGCUGUAAACGAUGCAGACUCGGUGAUGGGCUAGCCUUGUGCCAGCCCAGUGCCGCAGGGAAGCCGUUAAGUCUGCAACAUGGGGCGUACGGUCGCAAGACUGAAACUUAAAGGAAUUAACGGGGGAGCA